AGUGAACGCUGGCGGUAGGCCUAACACAUGCAAGUCGAACGGCAGCACAGUAAGAGCUUGCUCUUACGGGUGGCGAGUGGCGGACGGGUGAGGAAUACAUCGGAAUCUACUUUUUCGUGGGGGAUAACGUAGGGAAACUUACGCUAAUACCGCAUACGACCUACGGGUGAAAGCAGGGGAUCUUCGGACCUUGCGCGAUUGAAUGAGCCGAUGUCGGAUUAGCUAGUUGGCGGGGUAAGGGCCCACCAAGGCGACGAUCCGUAGCUGGUCUGAGAGGAUGAUCAGCCACACUGGAACUGAGACACGGUCCAGACUCCUACGGGAGGCAGCAGUGGGGAAUAUUGGACAAUGGGCGCAAGCCUGAUCCAGCCAUACCGCGUGGGUGAAGAAGGCCUGGGUUGUAAAGCCCUUUUGUUGGGAAAGAAAAGCAGCAGGUUAAUACCCCGCUGUUCUGACGGUACCCAAAGAAUAAGCACCGGCUAACUUCGUG
This 490-nucleotide ribosomal RNA is filed under the name uncultured bacterium. RNAcentral describes it as "partial 16S ribosomal RNA". It matches the Rfam family "Bacterial small subunit ribosomal RNA", at positions 29 to 507 of the family's 1533-position model. The record is from RNAcentral.